GGCGGCAGGCCUAACACAUGCAAGUCGAACGGUAACAGGAAGCAGCUUGCUGCUUCGCUGACGAGUGGCGGACGGGUGAGUAAUGUCUGGGAAGCUGCCUGAUGGAGGGGGAUAACUACUGGAAACGGUAGCUAAUACCGCAUAAUGUCGCAAGACCAAAGAGGGGGACCUUCGGGCCUCUUGCCAUCGGAUGUGCCCAGAUGGGAUUAGCUUGUUGGUGGGGUAACGGCUCACCAAGGCGACGAUCCCUAGCUGGUCUGAGAGGAUGACCAGCCACACUGGAACUGAGACACGGUCCAGACUCCUACGGGAGGCAGCAGUGGGGAAUAUUGCACAAUGGGCGCAAGCCUGAUGCAGCCAUGCCGCGUGUAUGAAGAAGGCCUUCGGGUUGUAAAGUACUUUCAGCGGGGAGGAAGGGAGUAAAGUUAAUACCUUUGCUCAUUGACGUUACCCGCAGAAGAAGCACCGGCUAACUCCGUGCCAGCAGCCGCGGUAAUACGGAGGGUGCAAGCGUUAAUCGGAAUUACUGGGCGUAAAGCGCACGCAGGCGGUUUGUUAAGUCAGAUGUGAAAUCCCCGGGCUCAACCUGGGAACUGCAUCUGAUACUGGCAAGCUUGAGUCUCGUAGAGGGGGGUAGAAUUCCAGGUGUAGCGGUGAAAUGCGUAGAGAUCUGGAGGAAUACCGGUGGCGAAGGCGGCCCCCUGGACGAAGACUGACGC
This 719-nucleotide ribosomal RNA is filed under the name uncultured Pseudomonadota bacterium. RNAcentral's name for it is "bacterial SSU rRNA". It matches the Rfam family "Bacterial small subunit ribosomal RNA", at positions 38 to 746 of the family's 1533-position model. Lineage: Bacteria; Pseudomonadati; Pseudomonadota. The record is from RNAcentral.